GACAGCCUGUCAGCGGCUGCUCUGGAGCCUGGGGCCUGCUCCGUGCGCCCUGUCUGCCCUCCGCGGGCCGUGCUGUCCAGGCUGGCCCGACAGCCUGACUCGAGACACCGGGAUGCCUGUCCACGCCUCCACUCCCGGGCCACUUCCCCGUGGGGCGGGCAGUGGGGCAGGGCGGGGUGGGAAUCUGCUGCAACCAGGGAAGGGAAUUGCCCCCCGGGCACAGAGAGUUUGGAGCCUGGGGUACUGUCACCAACAGCCCAGGACCCCGCAGCUGGGCCCUCCCCUAGAGUCUUCCUGCAGCAGGGCUCUCCUCCCGAAGGGCUGUGAAUGUUCCUCGGAGGUGGGGCUAAGCUAGAGCCCAGAGGUUUGCCCUGGGCACGGAUCCCCCAGGUCACUCGCCUCCCAUGGGCUGCAGUGAAGGAGGCUUUGAAGGGAGGAUGGCCGCCUCCUCCCCUGCAAGGAUAUGAGCCCCAGGGAAGGCAUUCCUGCUCUGGGGAUUGCCUCCCUCCCAGACAUCACAGCCAGCCCUUGCAGAAGCUUGGCCAAGCUGACCACUCUGUCAGUGAUCUCUGCAAGGGAAGCUGAAAGAACAUCCAGCCCCAAUUGUGUUCCCUUUCUGCCUCAGGCUAGGCCAUAUCUAGGCCUAUCAGGGAAGUUGGUCUCUUCAUGAGCCCCCCUGCACAGACGUCUAAAUGUCCAGAGUCCCAACAGAAUAACAAAGGGUUAAAAACCAUCUCCAUAUUGAAGCAGGCCGAGCUGAAGGCUGACUUCUAGGGUGCCCUAGAAUGGUGGAAGCUGCACACACCUGACACCACCUAGCAGAGUUGGCUUCCAGAGGAACCUUUCGGGGCCAUAGGCUUGCAGGCCUACCUGGCCAGGCAGAUGAUCCAAAUCUGCCUGAGAGGCAUGAGGUGAGGAGCUGGUGCUGGAGGGUAUGGUGGCCCUGCCAGGGAGCAUCUGUGGUUCCAGCGGCUGCAGCAAGCAGAAUGGAGGCCUGGGGCUGCAAGACGUUUUGAAGAGACACAGGAAUCAGCAUUUUUGUACAUGAUCUUGGGUGUGUGUGUGUGUGUGUGUGUGUGUGUGUGUGUGUGUUAAACACUGGAGUCAUAAAACUUCAGAUUAAAAGAAAAACUGCAGAACAUAAAACAAAACCCACCUGCAGCUCAGGGCUGGCCUGCAGGCCGCCUGUGACUGGUGCAAUUUCCCACCUGUGCUGCCCGUGACCAUGGUAAGUCUCCACUGCACACCCCACGGACACAGUCUCAGUCUGUGGCUGCAGCCCCGAGUGUCACAGAGGUCCCUCCCCAUUGCCAGGGCUGUCUGACCCUGAGUCUGUGAGCUCCUGUGGGACAGGCGUCAGCUUCUUGACCUGGUUUUCCUUCAUAACUGCUCUCUGAGGGUAGUGGCUGGCCAGAGAUCCUUUGCCGAAUGGAUCCUGGAAUCCAGCCCUGGUCCCUAGGCCUCUCCCCACUAGAGCUACUUGUCAUUGGCAGGCUGGCCACCAGGCCAUGCUCUUCUUCCCUUGACUUUCUGUCCCAGGCCUGGAAGGAAGCAUCCAGAAGACUCCUCCUAGCACCACAGGACCCAGAGAGCAAGACAACAGAGCAGCAGGGUCACACCCUGGCUUGCAGGGCCAGCUUCUGGCAACUGCCACAGGCCUGCCACACUCAGCCAUGAAGAAAGAAGGGAUUUCUUUUCCCACACAGAAACACCCCAAGCAGGAACAGAAACAGAUCUUUUGUGCCCACCAAUAUGUGUCUGUCUUGCCCAGCCUGUCAUUGUCCAGGGCUGUGGGUAGUGGAGGAGCCACUGGUUCUUGACUAGUUCUGCAGAAGCCCUGGGUCAAAGGCCUCCGCUGACAGCAUCCAGAAGUGUGUGCUUCUCCAUCCUGGCCACACUCUCAAAUCACUGGCGGAAAGGGCAUGGGAGAACACAGUGAGAAGACAGCAGUCUGAGAGCCCGGAAGAGCGCCCUCACCAGAAACCAAAUGUGUCAGCACCUUGCUCAGGGACUUCCAGCCUCCGGAACUGUGAGGAAACAAAAUGUCUGUUUUGGAGCCGCCCAGGCUGUGGGGUUUUGGUAAGGCAGCCUGAGCAGACUAAUGCAACAGCCUCAACAAAACUGCAAUCGAUGAGAAAAAAACAGUGGGCUUGAAGAAAAAAAUGAAUUCCAGUCAAAAUCUCAACAGUUUCAUUUGGGAGCUUCACUCCUCAGCCAGUGAGACCAGGAACCUACCAGAAGAAAGAAACUCCAAACGCAUCUGAAGGUCGGAAGGAGCAAACUCUGGACACGCUGCUUUUAAGAACUGUAACACCAUGAGGGUCUGCGGCUUCAUUCUUGAAACCAGUGAGAUCAAGAACCCACCAAUUACAAACACAACACCUCAACAACACCUCAUGAGCAGGCCCUUCCUGACGCCCUUGACUCCGGCCUGUCCUGAGGCAUGCAGAUGCCACUCACCUCCAAGUUCUCCAGAACCUCUGGGACACCAAAGACCCUGACCUCGGAGGUGGUGUAGUGGUUGCUCAGAAGGAUUUCAGACUGCUUGGCAUAGAGAUCUGGGCUGAAGGGUACUGGCCAGCUGGCAAAUGACACGGAGUUCAGCCUUGUCCUCACACAGCGAGGGAAGGACGGGGAGGUUUGGAGCUGACAGUCAACAAAUGGGUAAUGGGCGGCCAUUAGUGAAGUGGCAGGAAGUGGGGCAGCACACACAGCGCGAGUUGUUUUGUGUAUGAACGGCCAGGCGACGGUGUCUGAACAUCUUUCCUUAAUUUUGCGAACGGAAACAGGGCACGAUGAACCUGGGAACUCACAAAAAUGAUGAGCAUAGAGCUCUGCGGGGUGCGGUAAGAAGGGGGGAGGGGAUGAAAAUAUCUUUGCAUGGGGUUUUGACUUGUGAGCCAUGCAAGUAUUUUACAUGUUCAAAACCUACAAUUAAGCCCCCAAGGAGGAACAAAAACUCAAACUGUAACUUGUCUUCCUAUCCAUCCACCGUCACCAGACAGCAGCAGCUUAAUGUAGAGGUGGAAUGGGUCACUGCAGCCACAGCACACAGCCACCUGGGGACAUGGCCUUAGAAGGCCAGGGCUCUGCCUUACAGGGAGCGGUGCAUGCUGUGAGCCAGAGACCACCACGUGGUGCUGUCUCCUCCCCAGCAGGGGUCUGCAGCUGGGGGUGCAGGUGGCAGGGGCUCCUCUCAUGCUCUUACCUAGUAACCCUUGCACGGAAUGUUUGCUUCCUGCCCCAGAAACUUUGAGUUCUGCUUGUUUGGAGGUCUUAGUUUCUACGAGGGAAUGCUUCCCCAGAGGAAAUCUGGCAUGGUUCCAGUGCAUUGGAAGAUGAGACUUUCCCCUGGCCAUGUGGGGCUCCCCAGGCCACUGAAGCAAUGGGAGGCAAAAGGGUUUCUCUACUAGCUGGAGAGAGUGAUCCCAGUCACCAAGGCUUUGCUACGCAAUGGGGACAAGAACCCAGGGGCUUCUCUGGUAUAUCCAUACCCAAUGGUAAUGGCUCGUGGGAAAUUCUAGCAGCCAAAAAAGGACAGUUGAAGAAUCAGAGUCCUUAGGAAUGAUGGUUUCAGUCACACCCCACAUAGGAGAAACUUGAGGCCAGGUGCAGUGGAUUCAUGCCCGUAAUCCCGGCACUUCAGGAGGCCAAGGUGGGCAGAUCACUUGAGCCCAGGAGUUCAAGGUUACAGUGAGCCAUGAUUUUGCCACUGCACUUCAGCCUGGGUGACGGUUUCUCUAUAAAACCAAUUUUAAAGAAACUUGACCGGCUUAGGUCUGUAUGAGGGCAGGGGACAAUGGAAUGGGUUUGGGAAGAAGGAAGCCACAGACAUUACCCACAGCUGUGCCUUCCAUUAGCAAAGGGAGGGCUGCAGUAGCUUUACUCACUUUCACUUUCCCGGUUACACACGUGUUAGUUGGUUUGUGCUAUUUCCUUCUUUCCAUUUUUCACUUUCUAUACAGGUGUCGAUAGGUAACGUUACAAUUUAGUCUUCAGGGAACAGAAUAUUCAGCAGCGCUGUGAUGGAAUCUGAGGAGUCACUCAGAGCCCCGCCCCCCCACCACCCCAUACACAGUGACUGAGGGACUGUGCCUCAUUGUGGGCAAGGGGUGAGAAAACCCCUUCGUGAUCUGAAGUGUGGCUGUAUCUUGGGAGGUGGAAACACAAGGCUGCUUGCUUGUUCUGAAUUUCACAUGUGCGUGGAAGGUGCAUGUGGAAGCUGAGUGUCAUAUGGUAGCUGGGUUAGAGCCUUUUUGUCUCUCAGCUCCAAAGCCACUGUUCACCGCCUUGCUCUGUGAUCAUGGCAUUGGACUUUGUCAAUGUUCUCCUCUGCCAGUUAGCAGAGGUGACACUGGGGGUGCUACGGGAAGAAGGGGCAUCCCUCCUGGUUGCACUGGGCAGCGCUCUCUUCCCAUCUGCAGCUGCCGUGGGCAAGCAGGGUUCCAUGGGGGUGACUUCCCACAUGCAAUGCCCUGUCUGCCAGCACCCGAGGGACGUCCUGCUUGCCAGUCCUGUCUCACAUUCCCAUGCCUGCCAGCCCCAGCCUGCUGGCUGCAGCAACUGCCAUCUGGGGCAUCUGACACGGUCUCCGCCAUUCCAAGGGCUGCUUCCACUCCUCCAGUGAGAGCGAGCCUCGGGACCAGAGGAGCGGCCCAAACAACCCUGAGUGUGAUGAGAAACCAUUGUUACCGUGGCUCUAAGCUAGGAAGUUUUGCGGUGUUUGGCUUUGUAGCAAAAGGUAACUGACACCCCUUUUAUUUAGGGGUCUGCCGUUUCUCCAGUGAUUUGUCACGCCAUCUUCACUGUAUCCUAAGUUUCCAUUUUAUGGAGUCUGUUUCUGGACUUUCCAUUCUGUUCAGCUCGUCUGAAUCCGCACAUACCAAUACUGCAGGUUUAAUGACAGAAGCUUUCUAGUGUGCUGCAGUGAUGUCUGGAUGUACCACUAACUCUAAAAACAAACAAAAAAGACUGAUUUUCCUGGAGAGUCUUGCCUUGUCAAAACUGGAAUUGAAAAUAAUCUUGACUAGCUCCAUUUUUUUAAAAAAACUGAGAAGUAUUGACAUCUGUAUGUUAAAUUGUGUUAUCUUAAAACUCGGUAUAUUUCUCAGUGUUUUAAUCUUUUCCUCACUUGUCAUUAUUUUUUGAAGUUAUUCCUAGUUAUCUUUUUCCUUUUUUUGAGACAUGG
Long non-coding RNA from Homo sapiens (human), 5188 nucleotides. RefSeq lists it as uncharacterized. The record is from RefSeq and is a predicted model, not a curated record. Lineage: Eukaryota; Metazoa; Chordata; Mammalia; Primates; Hominidae. The transcript is spliced from 6 exons.